Molecule: ribosomal RNA, 2216 nt
Filed under: metagenome
Description: bacterial LSU rRNA
Rfam family: Bacterial large subunit ribosomal RNA
Source: RNAcentral
AGGGCGCACGGUGGAUGCCUUGGUACUAGGAGCCGAAGAAGGACGGAACUAACACCGAUAUGCUUUGGGGAGCUGUAAGUAAGCUAAGAUCCAAAGAUUUCCGAAUGGGGGAACCCAACACCUUUCAUAGGGUGUUACCAAUGAGUGAAUACAUAGCUCAUUAGGAGGUACACGCAGGGAACUGAAACAUCUCAUUACCUGCAGGAAGAGAAAGAAAAAUCGAUUCCCUGAGUAGCGGCGAGCGAAACGGGAGGAGCCCAAACCAACGAGCUUGCUUGUUGGGGUUGUAGGACUAGAACGUGAGAAGAAAUCAAGAUAGCAGAAGUGGUCUGGAAAGGCCCAUCAAAGAAGGUGACAAUCCUGUACGCGACAUCUUGAUGAACUCUACUAGCAUCCUGAGUACGGCGGGACACGAGGAAUCCCGUCGGAAUCCGCCAGGACCAUCUGGCAAGGCUAAAUACUACCUAGUGACCGAUAGUGAACCAGUACCGUGAGGGAAAGGUGAAAAGAACCCCGGGAGGGGAGUGAAAGAGUACCUGAAACCGUGUGCUUACAAGUAGUCAGAGCCCGUUAAUGGGUGAUGGCGUGCCUUUUGUAGAAUGAACCGGCGAGUUACGUUUACAUGCGAGGUUAAGAUGAAGAGUCGGAGCCGUAGCGAAAGCGAGUCUGAAUAGGGCGCAUGUAGUAUGUGGACGUAGACCCGAAACCAAGUGAUCUACCCAUGUCCAGGUUGAAGGUGCGGUAAAACGCACUGGAGGACCGAACCAGGGCACGUUGAAAAGUGCUUGGAUGAGGUGUGGGUAGCGGAGAAAUUCCAAUCGAACUUGGAGAUAGCUGGUUCUCUCCGAAAUAGCUUUAGGGCUAGCCUCGGAAUCAAGAAUCGUGGAGGUAGAGCACUGUUUGGACUAGGGGCCCAUCUCGGGUUACCGAAUUCAGAUAAACUCCGAAUGCCAUGUAUUUAUAUCCGGGAGUCAGACUGCGAGUGAUAAGAUCCGUAGUCGAAAGGGAAACAGCCCAGACCACCAGCUAAGGUCCCAAAAUAUCUGUUAAGUGGAAAAGGAUGUGGGGUUGCACAGACAACUAGGAUGUUGGCUUAGAAGCAGCCAUCAUUCAAAGAGUGCGUAAUAGCUCACUAGUCGAGUGACCCUGCGCCGAAAAUGUAACGGGGCUAAACAGAUUACCGAAGCUGUGGAUUGGACCUUAUGGUCCAGUGGUAGGAGAGCGUUCUAAGGGCAGAGAAGCAUGACCGUAAGGACAUGUGGAGCGCUUAGAAGUGAGAAUGCCGGUAUGAGUAGCGAAAGACGGGUGAGAAUCCCGUCCACCGAAUAACUAAGGUUUCCUGGGGAAGGCUCGUCCUCCCAGGGUUAGUCGGGACCUAAGGCGAGGCCGAUAGGCGUAGUCGAUGGACAACAGGUUGAUAUUCCUGUACUUCUAUAAAUCGUUUGAGCAAUGGAGGGACGCAGGAGGCUAAGAAAAGCGUACGACUGGAAGUGUACGCCCAAGCAGUGAGUCGGCUGAUGAGUCAAAUGCUUAUCACGGAUGCGACAAGCUGUGACGGGGAGGGAAGUUUAGUACCGAAGUUUCUGAUGUCACACUGCCGAGAAAAGCUUCUAGCAAGAUUUAUAGGACCCGUACCGCAAACCGACACAGGUAGUUGAGGAGAGAAUCCUAAGGUGAGCGAGCGAACUCUCGUUAAGGAACUCGGCAAAAUGACCCCGUAACUUCGGGAGAAGGGGUGCUGGUAGCAAUACCAGCCGCAGUGAAUAGGCCCAGGCGACUGUUUAUCAAAAACACAGGUCUCUGCAAAAUCGAAAGAUGACGUAUAGGGGCUGACGCCUGCCCGGUGCUGGAAGGUUAAGAGGAGAGGUUAGCCGCAAGGCGAAGCUUUGAAUUGAAGCCCCAGUAAACGGCGGCCGUAACUAUAACGGUCCUAAGGUAGCGAAAUUCCUUGUCGGGUAAGUUCCGACCCGCACGAAAGGCGUAACGAUCUGGGCACUGUCUCAACGAGAGACUCGGUGAAAUUAUAGUACCUGUGAAGAUGCAGGUUACCCGCGACAGGACGGAAAGACCCCAUGGAGCUUUACUGUAGUUUGAUAUUGAGUGUUUGUGUCACAUGUACAGGAUAGGUAGGAGCUGAAGAAUCCGGGACGCCAGUUUCGGAGGAGGCAACGGUGGGAUACUACCCUUGUGACAUGACCACUCUAACCCGCACCCCU